GCCAAGUCGUGAGGCGGAGCUAAUCCCUUAAAGCCAUUCUCAGUUCGGAUUGUAGGCUGAAACUCGCCUACAUGAAGCUGGAGUUACUAGUAAUCGCAGAUCAGAAUGCUGCGGUGAAUGCGUUCCCGGGUCUUGUACACACCGCCCGUCACACCACGGAAGUUGGGGGCGCCCGAAGCCACUUAGCUAACCCUUUUGGGAAGUGAGUGUCGAAGGUGAAAUCAAUAACUGGGGUGAAGUCGUAACAAGGUAUC
RNAcentral lists this ribosomal RNA (254 nucleotides) under uncultured bacterium. RNAcentral's name for it is "partial 16S ribosomal RNA". It matches the Rfam family "Bacterial small subunit ribosomal RNA", at positions 1249 to 1500 of the family's 1533-position model. The record is from RNAcentral.